GAUGAACGCUGGCGGCGUGCUUAACACAUGCAAGUCGAACGGAAAGGCCCUUCGGGGUACUCGAGUGGCGAACGGGUGAGUAACACGUGGGUGAUCUGCCCUGCACUUUGGGAUAAGCCUGGGAAACUGGGUCUAAUACCGAAUAGGACUACGGCCUUCAUGGGUUGUGGUGGAAAGCUUUUGCGGUGUGGGAUGGGCCCGCGGCCUAUCAGCUUGUUGGUGGGGUAAUGGCCUACCAAGGCGACGACGGGUAGCCGGCCUGAGAGGGUGACCGGCCACACUGGGACUGAGAUACGGCCCAGACUCCUACGGGAGGCAGCAGUGGGGAAUAUUGCACAAUGGGCGCAAGCCUGAUGCAGCGACGCCGCGUGAGGGAUGACGGCCUUCGGGUUGUAAACCUCUUUCAGCAGGGACGAAGCGCAAGUGACGGUACCUGUAGAAGAAGGACCGGCCAACUACGUGCCAGCAGCCGCAGUAAAAC
RNAcentral lists this ribosomal RNA (481 nucleotides) under uncultured bacterium. Its description in RNAcentral is "bacterial SSU rRNA". It matches the Rfam family "Bacterial small subunit ribosomal RNA", at positions 28 to 526 of the family's 1533-position model. The record is from RNAcentral.